GGCCAUGCGUUAAGCACAGAGCGAAUUACUCCUUCGCCUUUUACUAAUGAAUACUGUGUGCUCGUCGUUUUAAGUGGCAUACGCCUAUUUUUGAAGGGCUUGCACCUCUGUGGGU
This 115-nucleotide small nuclear RNA is filed under the name Prunus dulcis (almond). RNAcentral's name for it is "sRNA ncRNA". It matches the Rfam family "U5 spliceosomal RNA". From Rfam's summary of the family: U5 RNA is a component of both types of known spliceosome. The precise function of this molecule is unknown, though it is known that the 5' loop is required for splice site selection and p220 binding, and that both the 3' stem-loop and the Sm site are important for Sm protein binding and cap methylation. Lineage: Eukaryota; Viridiplantae; Streptophyta; Magnoliopsida; Rosales; Rosaceae. The record is from Rfam by way of RNAcentral.